Molecule: ribosomal RNA, 253 nt
Filed under: uncultured bacterium
Lineage: Bacteria
Description: partial 16S ribosomal RNA
Rfam family: Bacterial small subunit ribosomal RNA
Source: RNAcentral
UACGGGGGGCGCAAGCGUUGCUCGGAAUUAUUGGGCGUAAAGCGUACGCAGGCGGCUCGAAAAGUCGAGUGUGAAACCCCGGGGCUCAACCCCGGAAUGGCAUUCGAAACUGCCGAGCUUGAGUGCGGGAGAGGGAAGCGGAAUUCCUGGUGUAGAGGUGAAAUUCGUAGAUAUCAGGAGGAACACCGGUGGCGAAAGCGGCUUCCUGGCCCGAUACUGACGCUCAUGUACGAAAGCGUGGGGAGCAAACAGG